AGUGAACGCUGGCGGUAGGCCUAACACAUGCAAGUCGAACGGCAGCACAGUAAGAGCUUGCUCUUACGGGUGGCGAGUGGCGGACGGGUGAGGAAUACAUCGUAAUCUACUUUUUCGUGGGGGAUAUCGUAGCGACACUUACGCUAAUACCGCAUACGACCUACCGUUGAAAGCAGGUGAUCUUCGUACCUUUCGCGAUUGAAUGAGCCGAUGUCGGAUUAGCUAGUUGGCGGGGUAAAGGCCCACCAAGGCGACGAUCCGUAGCUGGUCUGAGAGGGUGGACAGCCACAGUGGAACUGAGACACGGUCCAGACUCCGACGGGAGGCAGCAGUGGGGAAGAUUGGACAAUGGGCGCAAGCCUGAUCCAGCCAUACCGCGUGGGUGAAGAAGGCCUGCGGGUUGUAAAGCCCUUUUGUUGGGAAAGAAAGCAGCAGGUUAAUAACCAGCUGUUCUGACGGUACCCAAAGAAUAAGCACCGGCUAACUUCGUG
This 491-nucleotide ribosomal RNA is filed under the name uncultured bacterium. Its description in RNAcentral is "partial 16S ribosomal RNA". It matches the Rfam family "Bacterial small subunit ribosomal RNA", at positions 29 to 507 of the family's 1533-position model. The record is from RNAcentral.